Molecule: non-coding RNA, 30 nt
Filed under: Rattus norvegicus (Norway rat)
Lineage: Eukaryota; Metazoa; Chordata; Mammalia; Rodentia; Muridae
Source: RNAcentral
UACAUCACCAUUAGCACACAGUGAACCAGU